UCCCCCUUCAUGGGAGAUCAACCCGACAGCAACUGUCUGUUAUGACUUCCAGUCGUUACCAUAUCAGAGGAGCUCAAAGUGAGUUCAUGCUGCGAGGAACCACAUCUGUCUUUUUUUCUGCACAAUUACCCCAAUGGCAAUUAAGAAAGUGUAAAGAACGCAUGGCAGUGCUGGGAAACGUUUUUCUUGUGAAAGCAUGGAGCAAGCAGAGGAAGGUGGAUGUGGAUGUGGACGUGGACGUGGACGUGGACGUGGACGUGGUCUUCGUAUUGUGGGCAGGCAAGAAUGAUGGAGUUUGAUGCCAGCAUUUCUCCAUAUGAAUAUAUCUUCAUUGAUGAGGCUGACUCCAACUUGGCAAAAAGAUGCAGAUGUGGCCGAAACAUUAUUGGACAGCGUGCCACUGUGGAUGUGCCUGGGCAGCGUGGAGGGAAUAUCACUGUGUGCUGCCAUCUGACAUAACAGAGUUGUUUGCCGCAGUCCAUUGCUUGGCGCAUACAAUACAGAGCGGCUGCUAGUCUUUCUUGGUGAAUUGCACAAUCGCCUUGUCCAACCCAAUGCAGCAAUGUCGGCAGGAAGAGAGGUCACAACGUUUGUCAUUAUUUAGGACAAUGUGAGUUUCCAUCAUGCUGUGGUGGAGCAGGAGUGGUUUGCUGCACAUCCCCGCUUCUCUGUAAUGUACCUUCCACCGUAUUCCCCUUUCUGAAUCCUAUCGAGGAGUUUUUCUCCUCCUAGAGGUGGAAAGUGUAUGAUCACAAUCCCCAUGAACAAGCCACACUUCUCCAGGCCAUGGAUGAGGCUUGUAAUGACAUUACGCCAGAAGACUGCCACGCCAGACGAUUCUCUCCACAGUGCAUAGCCAGAGAGAAUAUUCGCUGUGAUGUGGGUGAAAACAUGUGGCUAGAAAGGAA
Long non-coding RNA from Acipenser ruthenus (sterlet), 908 nucleotides. RefSeq lists it as uncharacterized. The record is from RefSeq and is a predicted model, not a curated record. NCBI's taxonomy places the organism in Eukaryota, Metazoa, Chordata, Actinopteri, Acipenseriformes, Acipenseridae. The transcript is spliced from 3 exons.